UUGGGUAUGUGAUGUCGAAGUUGAACAACCGUUGAUGUUGAAUAAACCAUAGCUCUCUUUCAAGUUGGCAGUAUUUAAAUCUAAAUGUUGAAGUGGGGUUCUACUCAUUUCCAUCUGUGUUUCAUUUUGUUGUUGGGACUGCACCGCUGAACGUGAUUAUUUUGUUCUUGAAUAAUUUAAACCCUUAUCCUUCAAAACCGAUAUUCUUUUAUUUCUUGCUAUUGAAGAAUGGAUGUUUGGAUUAUAUGUAUCCAUUUGAUAUCAAACGAAAUAGAUAUGCAUUCACAAAAUCAAGUCCUGUUUUAUGCACAAUGUAUAAAUCCAAGUGUAAGAUUAGUGCAUAACUUAAAUAAUUAAACAAUAAUAAUCAAACAAACAUUUUAUGGCUGUUGCAGGUGGAUUACAUUCUCUAUAUUAUUUAGUGCUAACUUUGAUUUCACUUUUUUUAGUUCACUUUAGCAAUUGAUGGUGUAUUUGAUGGUAUAUUUAUGAGUACAGAAAUGUUAACUUCCUAUUUAAAAGAUUACCUAGCCAUAAAAUUUGAAAUUCUUACUAUUGAAAAAGGCAUUUUAUUUAUUGCUGCAGAUUUGGAUCUGCUUUCAAAAACUAAUGUUACUUAGUAAUUAAAUUAUAUAAAGUAAUCGUUAAAAAUAAUACUUUUUUGUAUCCAUAUAACAGUCCAUACAAUUGUAACUCGUACAUAUUCAAUUCAUUUAAUAAAUGUCCGCAUAACAAUAUCUAACAUUUACAGAAUAAUUUUAAGGUUGGCACAAAAUCAAUUUUAAAGUUUGUACAAAAUGAACAAAGUAGAUAGAGGAGAAGAUCAUAGAAGGAUAUUCCAUAAGAUGUAUGCUUUGAUAAUCUCACCGAUGAAUAGUUCAUAGAAUAAAUAAUAUUCAUAAUGAAUCAAAAAUUAUAAAGUAUUCUUAAUAAUGUAACCAAUCUCUAACUGAAUACAAAAAUAAUUUUAACAAUAAAUUUGUAUACAUCAAACUGAACUCCAAAAUACCAAAACCAUACACACAAUUCUAGAAUCUACAAAAUAUUCAUGAAACAACAAAUUAGAAUUAUAUAGGUUUUUAACAAAUGAAAUUAAACAUGUCAAAUGAGGAAAGUUAAAUAUUGAAGAACAAAACAAAAAGUAACAAAAUGAUAUUUUAAACAUCAAAUUUUUAAUGACCAAGGAAUAUCAAAUUUUUAAUGACCCUAGAAUAUCAAGAAUAUUAUAUUAUAUUUCAUGUACAUGAUUCUCAUGGAUAAACAUUAAACAAAUAAUGGAGAAUAUCACUAAUAUAUAAAAUAUUAUAUUAUAUAUUACUAAUAUUCUGUAACAACAUAUUAUAGUAUAAACAUAGAAAACAACUUCAAGAAUAUGCAUCAAGAAUAUCAUUAAGAAGUAUGUAAGUAGUUAUAGUAUAAAGAACUUCAAGAAUAUAGUAUGUAAUUAGUUAUAAUAUGCAUCAAGAACUUCAAAAUACAAAUGCAUGUAAAAGUAACAAUCGGAUCUGAAAAAGUAGACCGUGACAAAGUAUAUUGGAUCUGGAAAAAUCAUAAAGAUGAAAUUUUUAAUACAAAAAAUAUGAAAGAGACAUAAAAAAGCCAAAAAUGAUAAAUGUAUGUAACAAACAUGUACUCAAAAUCACAUUCAAAACACAAAUGCAGGUAAAAGUAACAUGACCAAGGAAUAUCAAAUUUUUAAUGACCCUAGAAUAUCAAGAAUAUUAUAUUAUAUUUCAUGUACAUGAUUCUCAUGGAUAAACAUUAAACAAAUAAUGGAGAAUAUCACUAAUAUAUAAAAUAUUAUAUUAUAUAUUACUAAUAUUCUGUAACAACAUAUUAUAGUAUAAACAUAGAAAACAACUUCAAGAAUAUGCAUCAAGAAUAUCAUUAAGAAGUAUGUAAGUAGUUAUAGUAUAAAGAACUUCAAGAAUAUAGUAUGUAAUUAGUUAUAAUAUGCAUCAAGAACUUCAAAAUACAAAUGCAUGUAAAAGUAACAAUCGGAUCUGAAAAAGUAGACCGUGACAAAGUAUAUUGGAUCUGGAAAAAUCAUAAAGAUGAAAUUUUUAAUACAAAAAAUAUGAAAGAGACAUAAAAAAGCCAAAAAUGAUAAAUGUAUGUAACAAACAUGUACUCAAAAUCACAUUCAAAACACAAAUGCAGGUAAAAGUAACAACCGGAUCUGAAAAAGUAGACCGUGUCAAAGUCAGUCGGAUCUAGAAAAAUAAUAAAGAUGAAAUUUUUAACACAAAAUAUGAAAGAGACAUCCACAAAAGCCAAAGGGGAUAAAUGUGAAAGUAAACCGGAUCUAAAAAAGUAAAUCGUGUCAUAGUAGUUCGGAUCUGGAAAAUAUGUUUCUAACAGAAGAAGAGAGAAACAAAUAUGAAACGAAGAAUACAAAGGAAGAAGAAUACAAAAGAAGUUCCGAUCUGACAUUUACCUUAGCUGUUGGGUUUGAAAUAUAUGAUGUCUAAGGAAGAAGAAGAAACAUGUUUGUAAU
RNAcentral lists this long non-coding RNA (2497 nucleotides) under Lupinus angustifolius (narrow-leaved blue lupine). Its description in RNAcentral is "long non-coding RNA (LANG_LNC000352)". Lineage: Eukaryota; Viridiplantae; Streptophyta; Magnoliopsida; Fabales; Fabaceae. The record is from RNAcentral.